This 87-nucleotide transfer RNA is filed under the name Bacilli bacterium. RNAcentral describes it as "tRNA-Leu". It matches the Rfam family "tRNA". Rfam says of the family: Transfer RNA (tRNA) molecules are approximately 80 nucleotides in length. Their secondary structure includes four short double-helical elements and three loops (D, anti-codon, and T loops). Lineage: Bacteria; Bacillati; Bacillota; Bacilli. The record is from RNAcentral.
GCUCCCAUGGCGGAAUUGGUAGACGCGACAGACUCAAAAUCUGUUUCUAGCGAUAGAGUUCCGGUUCAAGUCCGGAUGGGAGCACCA